GCCCAAGAUUGAAAGCUGGCGUCUUCGGCGUCCGCAUUGUAAUCUCAAGAAGUGUUUUCCGCUUCGGACCAUGCCUAAGUCCCUUGGAAAAGGGCAUCAUAGAGGGUGAUAAUCCCGUACAUGGCAUGGAGCGCCCGAAGCUUUGUGAUACGCUUUCUACGAGUCGAGUUGUUUGGGAAUGCAGCUCAAAAUGGGUGGUAAAUGCCAUCUAAGGCUAAAUAUUGGGGAGAGACCGAUAGCGAACAAGUACAGUGAUGGAAAGAUGAAAAGAACUUUGAAAAGAGAGUUAAACAGUACGUGAAAUUGCCAAAAGGGAAGGGUAGGAGGUCAGAGAUGCGUCUUGGGAUUCAGCCUUGCUUUUGCAUGGUGUUUUUCCCAAGUUGCAGGCCAACGUCGGUUUUGGGCACUGGAGAAGGGUAGGAGGAACGUGGCACCUCUCGGGGUGUGUUAUAGCCUCCUACUGGAUACAGCGACCGAGACCGAGGAACGCAGCGUACUCGUAAGAGCGGGCCUUUUGGCACCUUUACGCUUAGGGCGUUGGCAUAAUGGCCCUCUACCACC
Molecule: ribosomal RNA, 561 nt
Filed under: Ustilago sp. DMKU-SP329
Lineage: Eukaryota; Fungi; Basidiomycota; Ustilaginomycetes; Ustilaginales; Ustilaginaceae
Description: LSU rRNA
Rfam family: Eukaryotic large subunit ribosomal RNA
Source: RNAcentral